AGAGUUUGAUCAUGGCUCAGGACGAACGCUGGCGGCGUGCUUAACACAUGCAAGUCGAACGGAGAUAAUGGAGUGUUUACAUGAAAUUAUCUUAGUGGCGGACGGGUGAGUAACACGUGGGUAACCUGCCCUAUGGAGGGGGAUAACACAAAGAAAUUUGUGCUAAUACCGCAUAAUGUAACUUUAUCGCAUGAUAAAGU
Molecule: ribosomal RNA, 200 nt
Filed under: uncultured bacterium
Lineage: Bacteria
Description: partial 16S ribosomal RNA
Rfam family: Bacterial small subunit ribosomal RNA
Source: RNAcentral